RNAcentral lists this ribosomal RNA (843 nucleotides) under Bacillus sp. (in: firmicutes). RNAcentral's name for it is "bacterial SSU rRNA". It matches the Rfam family "Bacterial small subunit ribosomal RNA", at positions 36 to 862 of the family's 1533-position model. Lineage: Bacteria; Bacillati; Bacillota; Bacilli; Caryophanales; Bacillaceae. The record is from RNAcentral.
CUGCGUGCGCGUGCUAUACAUGCAAGUCGAGCGGACAGAAGGGAGCUUGCUCCCGGAUGUUAGCGGCGGACGGGUGAGUAACACGUGGGUAACCUGCCUGUAAGACUGGGAUAACUCCGGGAAACCGGAGCUAAUACCGGAUAGUUCCUUGAACCGCAUGGUUCAAGGAUGAAAGACGGUUUCGGCUGUCACUUACAGAUGGACCCGCGGCGCAUUAGCUAGUUGGUGGGGUAAUGGCUCACCAAGGCGACGAUGCGUAGCCGACCUGAGAGGGUGAUCGGCCACACUGGGACUGAGACACGGCCCAGACUCCUACGGGAGGCAGCAGUAGGGAAUCUUCCGCAAUGGACGAAAGUCUGACGGAGCAACGCCGCGUGAGUGAUGAAGGUUUUCGGAUCGUAAAGCUCUGUUGUUAGGGAAGAACAAGUGCGAGAGUAACUGCUCGCACCUUGACGGUACCUAACCAGAAAGCCACGGCUAACUACGUGCCAGCAGCCGCGGUAAUACGUAGGUGGCAAGCGUUGUCCGGAAUUAUUGGGCGUAAAGGGCUCGCAGGCGGUUUCUUAAGUCUGAUGUGAAAGCCCCCGGCUCAACCGGGGAGGGUCAUUGGAAACUGGGAAACUUGAGUGCAGAAGAGGAGAGUGGAAUUCCACGUGUAGCGGUGAAAUGCGUAGAGAUGUGGAGGAACACCAGUGGCGAAGGCGACUCUCUGGUCUGUAACUGACGCUGAGGAGCGAAAGCGUGGGGAGCGAACAGGAUUAGAUACCCUGGUAGUCCACGCCGUAAACGAUGAGUGCUAAGUGUUAGGGGGUUUCCGCCCCCUAUGCUGCCGCUAACGCAUUC